CAUUGACAUAAACAAUCGAGGCGUCUAAGGAUGUUUUGUUACCUCAGGCAAAUAGGCAGUUGAUUUUUUUUUAUUUGAUUGUUGAAGCUGCUUUUUAGUCAUAGCGUCAAGGUUUUUGUACUUGAUUAACCUCUGACAGCCGACAGCCUAUUGGUAUCGAUGUGUUUCCUGGCCGUUGACGUUCGAAUACUGCGGCGGUAAAACCAGGGGUGGCACACUCUCAAGUUCAACUAAUGGCCACAGAGGGCGAAAAAAUCGACCGCGCGGCGCUGCUAAAGAAACAGGCAUAGUACACCAAUUAAAAAGGUUCCCCGUUGAGCGCAUUAUCUCCGGCUAGAGGCGCCGUAGUAAGCGCAAUUUUAACCUUCAAACUUUCUUCAACAGUAAACGAAGCGUUUUUAUCGCAUGAUAAAGACUACAAAAGUAUAAUUCCUAAUUUUACAUUGUACUUUUCAUUACCAACUUUGUUGUUUUUUGUCAUUUUAAACGCAAAAUAGCGUUCAGCAUCAUCGACCUCCCACGUGACCUCUGGCCUGGAUUUAAAAUUUUUACCGGUAUGUUCGCGUGCACGGCAGGUACGGAUUCCUUGGUUCGUACAUUGGUUGGUUAAUUUGUGCUAACACCAGUUUAUUGCGCUUCGAUAUCUCGCGUUAUUUAACUUGGGGUGUAAGCCUGAAAGCUAGGUUUCAGUCGUGAGCCAUGUGGAACACGUCUGCAUCGAAAUGGGAGCCGGGUCCUGCUGCGACUGGGGACAGCAAUACCGACAUGCAGUAAUGAGGAUGGCACCAGUAUAAAGCAACACACUCCAUGCACUAAACAGAAGCUGCUGCCUGCUACAACAAGGUCAUUGUGUGGACUUUGGCUGCUACUACAAGAGUCUGUGCCAAGUACAUCUUGGUCAUCACGGGAGCCCCCAUCUACACAAACAAGAAGGGGCCGGAGCUGAAUUCACAAGACCACGAACAAAGAAGCCAUUCCAGAAUUAUUUGGAUGAGAUAUCAAGUCUACGGACGACUGUUUCAAGAGUGAAAAGAGCCUACGCCAUCAUUCCACCAGCACGGAUAUUGGCCGAGUCAUCCAGGUACCUCAACAACAAAAAUUAUUUGUCUUCAGAUGUACCUGCAACCUCUGAACAAGCACAGACGACGGUGGCUAAGAGUGUUCUGUCAGCUUGCCCUUCCUUAGGGAGCUCCCUGGCCUUGCCAAUUCUUGCCAAGUAUAAUUUUGUUUCAAUGAAUGCACGCUUCUUCAUUCCACACUUUUGUUAGAGAUCAUUCCUAUUCCUCAUACAAACAUUAAAGGUCAACCGAUUCUUUGCUCAUACUUAAUGCCCGUCACUGUCUAGUAGCAUAACAUAUGUGUAGCAGUUCUUUCUAGUGUAUGUUGCCAUGUGCAAUUCCUCUCCUGAAAUAGCUGAUGCGACAUUGGCGUGUGUCUUGCAUUAACCUUUACACUGUGUGCUAUGUAGCAUUUAACUUUUGUUAAUGUUUUUGGCUUUCAAUGCUUGCAAGGUAGAGUGGCUUCUUUCUUGAAUGCAAGCUUUCUCAUUCCCAUAUUGAAUUCCUAGUCUCAUUCAGGAUUGCUAUUCUUGCUCGACAGCCUGUGUUUUUGUGCAAGCUACAUUGAAGAGAUUGAUUGCAGAAUAUGGUUUCGGCGCUGUGCGACUUGGUACUUGUCACCGUGUUACGUUUCUCAUGUGUGGGAGCCUGGUCAGUUGCACUGGGAAACAGUCUCUCGAGGCAAGCACCUGCUCCUACAGUCUGCACAGUGACAUAGACUGCGAAUUUACACGCACCGUGGUUGGUGCUCCCCGUUCCGUCCUUUCCUGCUGCUGCCGUGUGCAAAUUUUGCUUGUGGCCUUCCUCAGCCAUGAUUUGGCGUCAACGGAGACUCUCAUACAUAAUUACAUGGUUCUAAGUGUAUGAAGUUGAUAUCCACAUUUGUGGAAAGGCCUGCAAAAUAGUUAUGUUCACAAAACCGACCAUGUCCAUAUAUGGAGAAUGUGGCGGACCAAGUGUGAGUUACACAUUAGUGGCAUGCAAUAGAACAAAAAGAAACAUGCAGGUUGGAAAGGCGGUAACGCUAAUAUGCCGGGCACUCCAUGUCGCUGUUGGCUGUAGCAGCAGAUGCUUUCGUCACCCGAUUGUUUCGCAAUGCAAGUUGCUCAUAUUCAACGCCGACUGUCGAUACUAACACGUGGGACACACUGUCCAAUCUGCUUGUGCUGCUGGUUGUUGCUUGUUACCAGACUGCAGUGUGCGACGAAGGCAAGCGCUAUGCCUACAGUCGGACGGUUGAAUGUGCCGCAAGCAGCCCAUGUGCGUGUAUGCUCACUGUUGUCAUGUAGAUCGCAGCCAAUGCAUAGUGCCAAUGUAUAGAUUGAGCGUUAUGUUAGAGUAUGCUGAAGUGAUUUGAUUACAUAAUCUUGUUUCAAUGUUGUCCCACUUGGUCAUGGUUGCCAUGUUACAUUUCUGGGAUGUGGCAGCCUGUUUAGUUGUAUUGGCCAACAGCCUCUCGAGGUAAGCACCUGCUCCUGCAGUCCACACAGUGACACGAACUCCUUGUUUACAUGUACUGUGAUUGGUGCUCCCUGUUUGUCCUUUCCUGCUGCAGCCAUAGGUAAAGUGUGCUUGUGGCCUUCUUUGUACAUGAUUUGGCGUGAACAGAGACUAUCAUACAUGAUUACAUGGUUUGAAGUGUAUGAAGUUGAUAUCCACAUGGUGUCAGGAUUGGGGGCUCAAUCCCUUCGUCCGUGGUCCUUUGCCAAGAUUGGAGUACGGCAUGAAUUCGAAGGUAGCUGGCCCAUGCCGUCGUCCAACUUAUUUACGCUGAGAUCGUUGAUGAAGUGAAGAACUGCUUCUCAUCGAGAACGAGGAAAAAGGGUUUAUUUACAGAAACUAAGUCAGUCUAACAUGACUGCUUGAGAAAAAGAGUAACAGUCCAACAUGACUGUAUGAGAGAAGUGACUCAGUCUAACAUGACUGCUCAAGAGAAGUGUGUCCUCAGCAUUCGCACAACCACAGUUUUUAUACACUCGAUCCGCCGGUCCUACGACGCGGCGACUGUUCGUUUACACAUCACCAACUCGCAGCUGCUCUGAAGAUCAGUUUACGUACACAAAGGCAACCGCGCUCUGUUCACAGAGGCAACCGCGCGGGGUGCCGUUCCGGGAAACUAUCGGCGCUGAUCGAGGGUCGCUCGUUGUUCCGUGCUAGGCCGAAGCGUGAGACGCUCAAAAUACGUCGUCCCCACGGCAGCUUGUCCAGCGUUUCAAAUCAGCUCCGCGUUGGGGAACUCCGGAAUCAUUGUUCACGCACCGAACUAGUCCCGUCACAAUGUCGAAGGGGCUGGAGGAAGGCGGCGGAUUCCAACGCAAAGGCCGCUUCUUUGAACGCCUCCCAGCUGCAGCGACGGAGAGGGAGAGGUGCGCGUCUUGCACCCCUUGUCGUAAUCGGGUGGCAAGGUGGCAAUCUUGUUGCGCAACUCGCCAUUCUUGACAAUGGGUGGAAAGGCCUGUAAAAGUGGCUGCGAAUUGGCGAUUCCCACAAAACAGACCACAUCCAUAUUGAGAGCAGGUGGGGCACCAAGUGUGAGCGACACAUUAGUGGCCACUGAAAGAACAAAAAGAAACGUGCAUGUAAGAAAGGAGGUAACACUAGGAUGCCAGGUAGUUCACGUCGCUGUGUUGGCUGUGGCAGUAGGUGCCUGCGUCAGCCGAUUGAUUUGCAGUGCAAGUUACGGUGACUGUCAUUGCAAACAGGUGGGGCACUGUCCAAUCUGCUUGUGCUACUGGUUGUCACUCGUUACUAGACCACCAUGUGCGACGUAGGCAAGCACUGUGCCUGAAGUCGGAUAGCUGAAUGUGCUGUAUGCAACUUGUAGUGCGUGAAUGCCCACUGUUGUCAUGUGGAUCUUAGCCAAUGUACAGUGUAUUGUCUGAACCUUAUGCGGUGAUUGAAUGCAGAGUCUAAUUUGAUAAUGGUCGCCGUGUUAUGUUUCUUCGAUGUGGCGACCUGGUUAGCUGCAUGGGCAACAGUCUCCCGAGGUAACCAUCUGCUCCUGCAGUCCACACAGCGACAAAGACUCCCAAUUUACAUGCACCGUAAUUGGUGCUCUCCCCAUUCGACAUUUCUUGCUGCAGCCGCCGGCCGAUUAUGCUUGUGGGCCUUCAUCGGCCGUGAUGUGGCGUGAGCGGAGACAGCACACGUUAUUACAUGGUCCGAAGUUGAUAGCCACAUGGGUGGAAAGGCCUGCAAAAGUGGCUGCAAAAUGCUGAUGCCCACAUGGAGAAUGUGGGGCACCAACUAUGAGUUGCACAUUAGCGGCCCCCGAAAGAACAAAAAGAAACGUGCAGGUUGGAAAGGCGGGAACGCUAAAAGGCCGUUUAGUCCAUGUCGCUGUGUUGGUUGCGGCAGCAGAUGCCUUGCGUCACCCGAUUGCUUCGCAAUGCAAGUUACGGCGAUUGUCAAUGCAAACAGGUGGUGCACUGCCCAAUUUACUUGCGCUACUGAUUGUCGCUCGUUACCAGAUCGCCAUGUGCGGCGACGAAAGUGAGCAGUUUACGAGCUCGCGUUAAUGGUUUCAGCGCAUCUCGACAUGCAAAUUUUAUUUCUGAUCUUGUAUGAGAAGGUGCACUGGUUUUAUUCUGCCAAUAAAGUCGCACGUCCUGUUCACUCA
Molecule: non-coding RNA, 4677 nt
Organism: Dermacentor albipictus
Lineage: Eukaryota; Metazoa; Arthropoda; Arachnida; Ixodida; Ixodidae
Source: RefSeq, a predicted model, not a curated record